UGAUGAGAUUUAUCACCCAAAACCGUUUUUGUGCGGCCGACUGGAGAACGUUAUUACAGCACAAUAAAAACCCCAAGUAACGUGAUUUUUUGCACAGUGAGUGAGCUGAAAUUCAGAUUUUUUUGAAGAAAACUCCCUGUUUUCUUGAAGAAAACUCCCUGUUUUCUUUCUAUUCCUGGCACAGACCCCGAGCAGUGUCUGCUGGCCCUGACACUCAUCCUGUCUGUCACAUCCCUCUCCAGACCUGGCUCCCCAUGUCCACAGCCACAGAAACACCAUUUUCCUUUCCCUUUGCUUCACCACCUUUAUAUCCAAUAAUUUUAUGCCUUUCUCACCUUUAAUAUUUCCAUUUUUCCCCAUUAUCCAUGGUAGGGUGGAAUUGGGGCUCAAGGAGAACCUGUUGGCAGAACUGAAGGGUGAGGGAAAAAUCCAGCCACCACUUUUUAAUUUUUAAUGCAAAAAUCUGUUGGUUUGGAGGGGAAAGGCACAGGGUAAAAAGGAUCUGGAGGUGGUGAAAUGGGACUGGGAUGGUUUUGAACCACGCUGUGUUCUCUCUGUUCAAUGGCAGGGGAUCAGAGGAGGGUGACAAAAGCAAUGUGGACACUGCAGCUCCUUCCAAGGGCUCCCAACCCUCCAGGGAUGGGCUCUUCCCACACUGCAGUCAAUGAAUCUCUAAUCUCCUGGACUGAAAUGUCUGACACUUCCAGCAUCAUUUCCCUGCUGCCUCGGCUCGCAGAGCUCCACCUACAGCAGUGUCUCAGCAGUGGGCUGCUGGUGGAUCUGAGAGAAAUGUCUGGGUUUUUGGGGUGGGAGG
RNAcentral lists this long non-coding RNA (814 nucleotides) under Junco hyemalis (dark-eyed junco). RNAcentral describes it as "lncRNA (ENSJHYG00000012001.1)". Lineage: Eukaryota; Metazoa; Chordata; Aves; Passeriformes; Passerellidae. The record is from RNAcentral.